GCACAUGCAUGCACACACAUGCACUCUCUCUCUCUCUCACACACACACGUUCGGCUUCUGGGAAGUCAAUUUGUUUCAAAAUAUAUAUCACAAUAAUAAAGCCUGUGUGUGUGUGUGUGUGUGUGUGUGUGUGUGUGUGU
Podarcis lilfordi (Lilford's wall lizard) is the source of this 140-nucleotide non-coding RNA. NCBI's taxonomy places the organism in Eukaryota, Metazoa, Chordata, Lepidosauria, Squamata, Lacertidae. The record is from the annotation of a GenBank genome assembly.